GGUCCAGAGGACCAGCGAACCGCCCUCCGGCGUGCUGGUCCGGCAACCGCGCGACGCGCACGGUGCUCCCGGAGGAAGACCCGCCCCCACACCCGUGGGGGAAGAGCGAGCA
RNAcentral lists this non-coding RNA (112 nucleotides) under Oerskovia sp. Root918. RNAcentral describes it as "SAM (S-adenosyl methionine) riboswitch aptamer". It matches the Rfam family "SAM (S-adenosyl methionine) riboswitch aptamer". Rfam says of the family: SAM-IV is a mRNA element that regulates gene expression via direct sensing of S-adenosylmethionine (SAM or AdoMet). SAM-IV riboswitches share conserved nucleotide positions with the previously described SAM-I riboswitches sequence analysis and molecular recognition experiments suggest that SAM-I and SAM-IV riboswitches share similar ligand binding sites, but have different scaffolds. The record is from Rfam by way of RNAcentral. RNAcentral also lists the same sequence under 1 other name. Lineage: Bacteria; Bacillati; Actinomycetota; Actinomycetes; Micrococcales; Cellulomonadaceae.